CAGAGGUCUUUCAGACCUUUUCCUGGAGUGAGACUCUGGCGUGGGCAGAGGAGAAGGCACCUUUGAUGACCACCUGUUAGAGGGCAACCCUUCCCCAGGCCAGAAACCUCAAAGUAGACCUCAUCAAAGAGACGACUUUCAACGUAAGAAGCAGGACCUCCUUGACAGAGGGACAUGGAUGGUGCUGUCAAUGGCCUUGUUCACCAGCAGGCAAAAUAAAAUGAAGUUUGUACCAACAUGCCUGGAGAUGGAGCUGUGGAGGGGAGGAUGCUGGGAGAAGAUAUUCUUCACUCUGAACUCCAUGGCCAUCUGCCUAUGUUCUGAUGCCACUAGAGGACAUGUUAACAGGUUGAGGGUCGGCAAUGAUACCCAGAUCAUGAAGUGGAAGAAACAGGCUGAGACUAAGAUAUUUAAGAGGAGACUGGCCUAUUCACAGGAGGAAACUGUGAUGUACGGAACGUUCUCAAUGACCUGGGACAAUGUCCAAGCAUA
Molecule: long non-coding RNA, 492 nt
Organism: Coregonus clupeaformis (lake whitefish)
Lineage: Eukaryota; Metazoa; Chordata; Actinopteri; Salmoniformes; Salmonidae
Exons: 3
Source: RefSeq, a predicted model, not a curated record